Patella vulgata (common limpet) is the source of this 4327-nucleotide long non-coding RNA. RefSeq lists it as uncharacterized. The transcript has 8 exons. The record is from RefSeq and is a predicted model, not a curated record. Lineage: Eukaryota; Metazoa; Mollusca; Gastropoda; Patellidae.
CUCAGGUGGCAAGUAAUGUUUACAAAAAUUCUGGGUCCACACAUCGAAGAUUAAAAGAAGGGUUAGGGAGACUAUCAACCUUAAUUCUUCUACAGAAAAGCGUAACAACAAAGAAAUUGAAUCCAAGGAAGUCACCGAGUCCAAGGAAAACCGAGGAAACUCAAUGUUUACAUAUGAACGAAGUAACCUUUCAGAUGUUGCAGAAAUCAUUUUUAUGUCAAAUGUCUGCUUUGUGGCUAUGUCAGUCUUCAAGUGAUUAUAUCUAUCUGUUUAAAACUGAAGAUAAAAGUGUAACAUACCAUUUAACCAUUGACAAGGACUUGAAUUGUGAAGUACAAUAUAAUAAUUUUUGUUUCCUGUUCAAAUUAAAGUUACAUUUAUAGAUUUACUUAUAAGAACUGUUGAGAAUAUGAAGAUAUGUGGGGGCAUAACAUCAAAACAUUUACAGUCUUAUUCUCAAUGUCAGCCUACAACUGUAAGAUAUAUCAGACAGGUUGAUCUUUUCAUGAACACAAAUAAGUCAACAUAUAAAUUACGAAAGCUGUGUACUUGCUUCUGUAUGUAAUAGUUUUUUUGAGGACACUCAAAAAGAAAUUUGUUUAAGUUGUCGACAGAUUAACAGAGAUUUACAGAGAAAGUAAAUAGCAAUAAUAAUAGUUUAUUUCACAUAUAUGGCUACAUAGCACAUUGCAUAUUCAGAUUUUGAUUGACAAUAUAUAAUUAAAAGAAUCAAUAUUUACAUAUUUGUAAAUGUAAUUUACAAUUCAAAAAUAGCUUAGCAAUAAUAUAUAGUUGCCAUAUAAACGAGCAAAAAGUGAUAGAAUAUAAUCAUGUGGUACGAAUUUGAUUAAAAUGUAGAUUUCACUCCAUUUUGAUUUAUUUCUUCCAACUGACUCGACUCCACAUAGAUUUGAGGUCAAAUGAGAAGUUAUAGAGUUAAACUGUGAUCAGUGAUGCCAGGUAUUUUAUUUACAGCACUUUGCUGCAAGCAUUUCACACAAUGAAAGUAACAAAAACACAGAUUAUACAGAUAAUUUCAUACAACAAAAUAGAAAGUGUAUAAUUAAACUAAACAUUUCCUGGAUCUAUUGGAAUUAAUAUCAAUAUUGGAAGUAUAAAAAUAUAAAUGUGAUUGAAUCUAGGAUUAAAUCUAGAACUUAAUCAGCAGUGUUCUACAGAUUUUUUAUUUCUUGUUAUUACUGUAUUGUAGUUAAUAAGUAAUGAAAAGAAAACAAGGCCCCAAGUUCACAAAGCAUUCUCAGUCUUAAGUUAAGGUUUUACUCAAAAUUGUUUGUCUUAUUUUAACUCAAAUAUAGCACUUUACUAACUAUUGUUGUUUUAAUGUAAAUAUAUCAAUAAGAAACUAUGUGCAAAGUUUUGUGUUUCUGGAUCAAAGCUAUUUCUCAAAAACAGUGAUUGAAAUUUGAGCAAAUUCUUAAGUCUGGGAAUGCUUUGUGAACUUGGGGCCAGGUUGAUAAUUGUAAACAAAAUAUACCGAGACGCAAUGAAAUAGCACCUCUGAGAUGACGUGGCAUAACUUUGCACCUUCCAUAGUUGCACAAAACCUAGCUUUUUAAAAGCUGCAUUAUAUACCCGACGUGUACCAGAAAAAUCAACAUACUGAUUCUGUUGGGUUUAAUUUUUUUGAUUGAGAAUUGUUCGGGGUGCGUUUACGCAAUCUUCAAAACAUUCUCACAUGUUAUCAUCGUAAUAUGAUGUUGUUACAUCCUUAAUUGCAAGAUUAAAGCAAAUCUUUAAAACAAAAUUGAGCUGAAAAGUACUAAGUAGGGCGUUAAACCUGGAUUCAUUUCAAAUAAGAUUUACAUUCAUCCAUUUAUAAAAGUGAUGUAUUAUUUUUAUUGCAUCUCAGUAUAAAAUAUUAACAAUGAUAACAAAUUUUAUACAGGUGCACUACUUGUAAUGUGUGAGCUUUAUAAAUGUAUUAAAUUAUUCUUAAAUAUACAUUAUGUAAGAUUUUGAUAAAGAGCUAGCCAUUCUUGCUAUAAUAGUUCGAAGAUAAAUAAUGUAAAAUGAAUAAUUUGAAAAUUUCAUUCAAAUUACUCUAUUGCGAGCGAAGAUAUUAGCCUUUGAAGGCCUUUGAAGGUUUGACAAGACGUGUGCAAUAAUUUCAACCAUCGUACUGGUUGUUCGAAGUAAAGUCUCACUCCUCCAUUUUUAGCUUAAAUCAAAAUAUGGCUGAACUGUUCUAAUCUAUUUAAUAUUGGAGAAAUCCGAUGCCAUCGAGAGUUGAUUAGGGCCUGGAUAAGUUAAUUAAUGUCUAAUUAAUAAUUUAGAAAACAUUUCAGGCCUAAAGAAAACCUGCAAUAGGCAGAUUUAGCUCUUGCAUAAUGUAUGUAGUAGUUAUUAGCACACUUUCCGAGGUGUAUCGGUGAAUAUCAGAACAGUUUUGGUCGAGGGGCCCAGCCGAGGCGGCUCCCGACCAAAACUGUCCUGAUAUUCACCGAUACGCCGAGGAAAGGUGCUAAUAAGUUACUUACAUCACAUUUCUAUCGAGUAUUGUGAAGCAAAAUGUGAAAAAUAGUAUUUAUUAUCGAGUCGUUUCAACCGAAAAGUGACAAAUACUUUCUGUUCUUUCAUUAUUUAUCCCUUUCUGAGCCUCAGGUUACAUUUCAUGGUAGAAUGAUUUCGCAGUGGAGAGACGACCUGAGUAGUAUUCACACGUGCGUCUUGCUAUGAUACUCUGAGCGUAAAACAAUCACGUGUUUGUUUAGAACACAUCGUCAAAACAAUGUCUAUAUGGCGUAGAGGACUGCGAUAUUAUUAAAUGUAGUGUAAAGGAAAUGCGAAACGUGGGUCAUUCCUGGUGAAAGUAUGCAUCGGCGGAUGGUUCUUCCGUUGAAAUUUAUUUGUAAUAAAGUUUAUGACUUUAUAGGCGUCUUUUUUUCAUCCUGCUUAUUUUCAAAGCCUGUGAAGUGUCCAGCAAGAGAACUGCGCCUUCUAUCAUCACAAUUAAUUAAAAUAAUUAUUGAAUAUUCUAAUUUAUAUAUUUUGCAUAUUAAUAUAAAUCAAACCAAAUUAUGAAAUAGAUGCCAAUUGGUAUGUAUAAUAAUUGAUUUUUGUAAUAUGUUGUUAUGUUAAUUUAAUGUCAUUGUAUAUGUUUUUGAACUGCCAUGUAGUUCCCCCCAUUUUGUUUUGUUACUAUGAUUUUGAUAGUUGUUUCAUGUACAUUGGUUAGAGCCUCGUUAUCAAUUGCGAUCUGGGUCGGACUAAACGUCCGCUACUUAUUGCUUGAUAGAUAUCUAAAACGGUAUAAAAGUAUCCGUGUAUCAGAAAUGAUCAGUACUCUUUCUGUACAUUUCUGAUACUUUUAAGCAUGUAUUGCAAAUUAAACAGGACAGUUUUAUCAAAGGUUGCCAGUGGCAACGAGUAGAAGUGGGAUAGAAGACGAAUUACGUAUACGGUGAACAGGAUGUGUAGCUUGGUAUAUAAGCACGUUACUAGCGCGAGCUGUGAUAUAUACACAACAGGAAACUAUUACAGAUACUACUGACUUCAUAUAUAAGAUGAACUCUGUCAGCUUGAUUUGUUUUGUCUUGGUAACUGUCUGUUUAGUGGUGGAUGUUACUCGUGGUCAGGGAACUAACUGUAAAACAUCUGGAUGUACGUGUAAUUCUAAUAGCAUCAACGUGGUUCCCCCCGGCGGACCUGCUAGAAACCUAAACGUAUGUUGUCCCCCAAAAGACGGUAUUACCUGCAGCAGGCAUUUAAGAACAGGAAGUGCAAUUAAUGCUACGCAUGGUGCUUUUUGUACGUGCGAUUUUACACGUAUUACGGGGAAUUGUGAACGCGGUGAACAAUGUACAGGGAUUAAAGCCCUCUUGAGCUCUUCUGCACUUAACGGAAUGAAGAUCUGUUGUCCCACUAUUACUGGUAGAGUCACCAGGAUAGUUAGGAUUCCUGGUACGCAGAAUUAUGACUGUCAGUGUACUGAACCUACAGCACCAAGUGGUGACGACUGGACUGGGGACUGUUGGAAGGGAAGUCAGUGUAACGGCUGCGACCCAGGUUAUGUUGGAGGUGUGAACGGCUUGAAACUCUGCUGUUCCAACUGCCAACAGAAAGGUCUCAUUAUCAACGCCGGUGCCAAGACCUGCAAUUGUAAUGUUUAAAUCUCAGACGCUUCAACAAUCUAUUUUCUUCUAACACAAUUUUUUGGGGGAUAAUUUCUUUUUGAAAUUAUGAUAGUGUUCCAUUUUACCAAAAUAUACCCUUUUUUGUUUAAAAAAUAAAUAAAAAGUUGAAAGUGUUCUAUUUUACCAAAAUAUACCCUUUUUUGUUUAAAAAAUAAAUAAAAAGUUGAAAGUCA